GAAGUUGGUUUACAAGUCUAAUACUCAUCUGGAAGUUUCGAAGCAAGACCUGAUGGGUCGGGGUGAGGAUAGGGUGCCCUCUUCUCGAUAUUGGAAGGAGCUAUAAGUAGGCUCGUAUGGUGCGCACGAGCCUGUGCCAUACCUUGUCGAAGGCCUUCGCGACACGGCUGAUGUGGUAGCAUGGAAUUGACGCCGUAUGAGGAUGUACUCGUUAUUACAUCAAUUUUAGUAAUUGUUGCUUGGGCAAAUACACUACCACUGAAAUUGUGUAACUUUCUGUGUACACAAUAAGUAAUCAUGAAGUGUUCCCGUAGAACACUUUGUCACCUAGGACCCUGCCGCCCUCGUCAUCCACCUUCUUGUUCGUCUGAUAACAAUCAAAGUCUGUGAAACAGCUGUUAAUAGAAAGGAGAAUCCAUCAUGAAUAAAAUAAAAAGACAAUCAAUUUUUGUAUGAAGUAUUGAAAGGGAUCACCUAGUUAUAUUAUUAUUAUGAAAUUCAAAACUGUUUGUAGCAAUAAAUAAAUGAAGAAGUAAUACAAUUAUUUGUAUAUUUAAAAAACGCUUUAAUAAAAUAACUUCGUCGUUCCAAUUUCCAAUUUAUAACCAUGAAAAAAAUGUAAACUAUAUUUCUUCAUAAGCCCAACAUAAACCAAGCUCAAGAUCUCGAAUCGGUUCAAAAGCUAUCAAAACUAUUUCAUAAAUUAAAUACUGAUUAUCUGUCACUAUGCCGUCACUGUGACAUUAAAGAAUCUGCGCUCGAUCUUCAUAUUAAAACAAUAGCAUUCAGAGAGUGGACUUGAAUGGUCGGAGAUCUCUUGGGACUCCUUGCAAUAUGGGGUACCACAAGGGUCUAUUCUUGGACCGUUCAACAUAAUGUUAACAAUAAUUUUUUGUACCGAUAGAAUAACCUUAAACCCAUUUUUCUUAGGUUCGAUUCGCCCCGGGAUCUGCCAAACAGGAAAUGAGAAGUAAACCAGGGAAAGCGGCAGCCGAUAUCAACCUGAACCGCACCUGAAAGUAUUUUUGGUAGUGCUGAGACAAUCAAAAAUAAGAGAUUACUACAGAGGCAGACAGAGCGGGAUUUUAUAGCGGGAAAAUAAUUACAGAUCAUAGCGUAGUGACACUUGAGUUUUUGACAGCUGCGUGACACAGUGACGUGUUCUUUAUUUCAAUUAAUUCAUUCAACACUGCUUACUAUAUAACUUUAACCUUAUAAUAAUUUGUAUAAGGGGUUAUGCAUUUUGCAAAAGUGAACAAUUUUUGAAUUAAAAUAAUUUAAAAAUGCAACGGCAAAAAAUUAU
Leptidea sinapis is the source of this 1303-nucleotide long non-coding RNA. RefSeq lists it as uncharacterized. The record is from RefSeq and is a predicted model, not a curated record. The transcript is spliced from 3 exons. NCBI's taxonomy places the organism in Eukaryota, Metazoa, Arthropoda, Insecta, Lepidoptera, Pieridae.